RNAcentral lists this unclassified non-coding RNA (172 nucleotides) under uncultured Chaetothyriales. RNAcentral describes it as "sequence contains ITS2". Lineage: Eukaryota; Fungi; Ascomycota; Eurotiomycetes; Chaetothyriales. The record is from RNAcentral.
UCACGGUCUCAAGCUCGGCUUGUUGUUGGGCCCUCUGUCACCUGGUGACAGGCCCGAAAGACAAUGACCGGUGGAACAGACUCCACAUGCAACGAGCUUAUCACAGCACGCAUCUGGCAGUUGUGUGACCCGGUUUUCACCUAUAUAUAAUAUAUUAUAUAUAUAUUCUCCA